Molecule: non-coding RNA, 956 nt
Organism: Danio rerio (zebrafish)
Lineage: Eukaryota; Metazoa; Chordata; Actinopteri; Cypriniformes; Danionidae
Source: Ensembl
CACUGUUGUAUUUACAGAAGUUGUAUGAGAAUAAGCUACAGGUUGAUUUAUACUAAUCUGUUAUUUUUCUUUUUUAGCACGACUGACUGAAGUUUUAAAAUCAUGCAACGUCAUAAAGCAGCAGCUGGGCCUGAUUCUCACAAAACCAAAACAGACGUGAUGAAAUUCCAGAUGUGAACACAUUUGACCUUCCUUUGGCCAAUUUGAUUUGGAAAAGCUUGAAAAUCAACUAAAGGAGCAGCCCGAACAAAUGAAGAAACUGAUGGAGUGAGGACAAAUGUUCAUACCACGCCACUGAUAAAGAAGUGGAAAAAUGCAUUACAAGGUAGCUACAACUCGCCCUGACAGGGAUGGAGGAAGAAAGAAGAGAAAGCUAAUGUGUCAAAUGUCUACAUCACUAUUUUGUUUUAUUUUUUUUAAACAACAUUUUAAGUGUAUUAGGAUGUUCCCUGAUACUUGAACAAUUUGUUUCUUUCAUUUGCAUUUAUAUAUAUAUAUAUGUAUAUGUAUAUAUAUAUGUGUGUGUGUGUGUGUGUAUAUAUAUGUAUGGUAUGUAUGUGUGUGCGCCAAAUUCUGAAGAAAGAAACAUCUUGAUACAUUUUUAAUAAACGUAAUACAAAUAAAAUUAUAAAUAUAAAAUUGCACAAGACGUGUGUAUAUAUGAAAUGUAUAUGUUUGUGCAAUUGAUUUUGUUCAAGUUUAUUUAAAAAAAAAAGUUUGACUUUAUACUUCUGCAAUUAUAUAUAUAUAUAUAUAUAUAUAUAUAUAUAUAUAUAUAUAUAUAUAUAUAUUUGUUUGUUUAUUAUUAUUUUAAUGUUUUAUUAAAAAUGUUUCAAGAUGUUUCUUCAGAAUUCUGCAGUACUUUUUACAAGUUUGACUUGGAUAUUUUACGGAUUGUCAUUGGUAUUUUUAAGAUGUUUCUUGCUAUAUCUUAAAUUGGUUUAUAUAUUUAGGUU